This 78-nucleotide microRNA precursor is filed under the name Trichobilharzia regenti. RNAcentral describes it as "mir-3492 microRNA precursor family". It matches the Rfam family "mir-3492 microRNA precursor family". Lineage: Eukaryota; Metazoa; Platyhelminthes; Trematoda; Strigeidida; Schistosomatidae. The record is from Rfam by way of RNAcentral.
AACCUUUUGUAUCCGUGAUGAGAUUUUGUCAGCAAUCAGUUCAUUAAGGAUGACGUAACUUCACAAAUACGUGAAGUG